This 253-nucleotide ribosomal RNA is filed under the name uncultured bacterium. Its description in RNAcentral is "partial 16S ribosomal RNA". It matches the Rfam family "Bacterial small subunit ribosomal RNA", at positions 524 to 776 of the family's 1533-position model. The record is from RNAcentral.
UACGAAGGGGGCUAGCGUUGUUCGGAUUUACUGGGCGUAAAGCGCACGUAGGCGGAUCGUUAAGUCAGGGGUGAAAUCCUGGAGCUCAACUCCAGAACCGCCUUUGAUACUGGCGAUCUCGAGUCCGGAAGAGGUGAGUGGAACUCCUAGUGUAGAGGUGGAAUUCGUAGAUAUUAGGAAGAACACCAGUGGCGAAGGCGGCUCACUGGUCCGGAACUGACGCUGAGGUGCGAAAGCGUGGGGAGCAAACAGG